Molecule: ribosomal RNA, 472 nt
Filed under: uncultured bacterium
Lineage: Bacteria
Description: bacterial SSU rRNA
Rfam family: Bacterial small subunit ribosomal RNA
Source: RNAcentral
UGGGGAAUAUUGGACAAUGGGCGCAAGCCUGAUCCAGCCAUACCGCGUGGGUGAAGAAGGCCUUCGGGUUGUAAAGCCCUUUUGUUGGGAAAGAAAUCCAGCUGGCUAAUACCCGGUUGGGAUGACGGUACCCAAAGAAUAAGCACCGGCUAACUUCGUGCCAGCAGCCGCGGUAAUACGAAGGGUGCAAGCGUUACUCGGAAUUACUGGGCGUAAAGCGUGCGUAGGUGGUCGUUUAAGUCCGUUGUGAAAGCCCUGGGCUCAACCUGGGAACUGCAGUGGAUACUGGACGACUAGAGUGUGGUAGAGGGUAGCGGAAUUCCUGGUGUAGCAGUGAAAUGCGUAGAGAUCAGGAGGAACAUCCAUGGCGAAGGCAGCUACCUGGACCAACACUGACACUGAGGCACGAAAGCGUGGGGAGCAAACAGGAUUAGAUACCCUUGUAGUCCCUGAGCGGGCUGGCAAGGCGCAU